RNAcentral lists this ribosomal RNA (457 nucleotides) under Chartergus globiventris. RNAcentral describes it as "partial large subunit ribosomal RNA". The record is from RNAcentral. Lineage: Eukaryota; Metazoa; Arthropoda; Insecta; Hymenoptera; Vespidae.
AGUCGUUCUGCCCAUUGUUUUUAAAAGGCUGCAGUAUUUUAACUGUACAAAGGUAGCAAAAUAAAUAGUUUUUUAAUUGAAAACUAGAAUGAAAGAGUUAAUAAAAUAUAGAUUGUCUCAAAUUUUUAAUUUAAAUUAAAAGUAAAAAUGCUUUUAUAAAUUUAUUAGACGAUAAGACCCUAAGAAUUUUAUAAUUUUAUUUAUUUAAAUAUAUUAUUAAUAAUAAAAUUAUUUUAUUGGGAGGAUAAUUAAAUAAAACUUUAAUUUUAAUAAAUAUAUUUAAAUAAAUUUAAUGAUUAAUUUUAUGAUUAUAAGAAUAAAUUACCUUAGGGAUAACAGCGUAAUAAUUUUGGAGAGUUCAUAUUGAUAAAAUUGUUUGCGACCUCGAUGUUGAAUUAAAAUUAAAUUUAAAUGAAGAUAUUUAAAUUUUUAGUCUGUUCGACUAUUAAAAUUUUAC